RNAcentral lists this ribosomal RNA (870 nucleotides) under uncultured Peptococcaceae bacterium. Its description in RNAcentral is "bacterial SSU rRNA". It matches the Rfam family "Bacterial small subunit ribosomal RNA", at positions 108 to 988 of the family's 1533-position model. Lineage: Bacteria; Bacillati; Bacillota; Clostridia; Eubacteriales; Peptococcaceae. The record is from RNAcentral.
GAUUGUAACGCGUGGAUAACCUGCCCAAGAGACCGGGAUAACUCUGGGAAACUGGAGCUAAUACCGGAUACGUUCCUUUUAAUGCAUAUUAAGAGGAAGAAAGGGGAAACCCGCUCAUGGAUGGGUCCGCGUCCCAUUAGCUAGUUGGUGGGGUAACAGCCUACCAAGGCGACGAUGGGUAGCCGGCCUGAGAGGGUGGCCGGCCACACUGGGACUGAGACACGGCCCAGACUCCUACGGGAGGCAGCAGUGGGGAAUCUUCCGCAAUGGGCGAAAGCCUGACGGAGCAACGCCGCGUGAGUGAUGAAGGCCCUUGGGUCGUAAAACUCUGUCUUCAGGGAAGAAAAAAAUGACGGUACCUGAGGAGGAAGCCCCGGCUAACUACGUGCCAGCAGCCGCGGUAAAACGUAGGGGGCGAGCGUUGUCCGGAAUUACUGGGCGUAAAGGGCGUGUAGGCGGCUCGUGAAGUCAGGAGUGAAAGCCCGGGGCUCAACCCCGGGACUGCUUUUGAAACCAGCGGGCUUGAGUGCAGGAGAGGGGAGCGGAAUUCCCAGUGUAGCGGUGAAAUGCGUAGAUAUUGGGAGGAACACCAGUGGCGAAGGCGGCUCUCUGGACUGCAACUGACACUGAGGCGCGAAAGUGUGGGGAGCAAACAGGAUUAGAUACCCUGGUAGUCCACGCCGUAAACGAUGAGUGCUAGGUGUUGGAGGUAUCGACCCCUCCAGUGCCGUAGUUAACACAAUAAGCACUCCGCCUGGGGAGUACGGUGGCAACACUGAAACUCAAAGGAAUUGACGGGGGCCCGCACAAGCGGUGGAGUAUGUGGUUUAAUUCGACGCAACGCGAAGAACCUUACCAGGGCUUGACAUC